This 253-nucleotide ribosomal RNA is filed under the name uncultured bacterium. RNAcentral describes it as "partial 16S ribosomal RNA". It matches the Rfam family "Bacterial small subunit ribosomal RNA", at positions 524 to 776 of the family's 1533-position model. The record is from RNAcentral.
UACGUAGGGUGCAAGCGUUGUCCGGAAUUACUGGGCGUAAAGGGCUCGUAGGUGGCCAACUAAGUCAGACGUGAAAUCCCUCGGCUUAACCGGGGAACUGCGUCUGAUACUGGAUGGCUUGAGUUUGGGAGAGGGACGCGGAAUUCCAGGUGUAGCGGUGAAAUGCGUAGAUAUCUGGAGGAACACCGGUGGCGAAGGCGGCGCCCUGGACCAACACUGACACUGAGGAGCGAAAGCCAGGGGAGCAAACGGG